This 761-nucleotide ribosomal RNA is filed under the name Streptococcus sp. R17. RNAcentral describes it as "bacterial SSU rRNA". It matches the Rfam family "Bacterial small subunit ribosomal RNA", at positions 21 to 764 of the family's 1533-position model. The record is from RNAcentral. Lineage: Bacteria; Bacillati; Bacillota; Bacilli; Lactobacillales; Streptococcaceae.
AGCUCAGGACGAACGCUGGCGGCGUGCCUAAUACAUGCAAGUAGAACGCUGAAGACUUUAGCUUGCUAAAGUUGGAAGAGUUGCGAACGGGUGAGUAACGCGUAGGUAACCUGCCUACUAGCGGGGGAUAACUAUUGGAAACGAUAGCUAAUACCGCAUAAUAGCAUUUAACACAUGUUAGAUGCUUGAAAGGAGCAAUUGCUUCACUAGUAGAUGGACCUGCGUUGUAUUAGCUAGUUGGUGAGGUAACGGCUCACCAAGGCAACGAUACAUAGCCGACCUGAGAGGGUGAUCGGCCACACUGGGACUGAGACACGGCCCAGACUCCUACGGGAGGCAGCAGUAGGGAAUCUUCGGCAAUGGGGGCAACCCUGACCGAGCAACGCCGCGUGAGUGAAGAAGGUUUUCGGAUCGUAAAGCUCUGUUGUAAGAGAAGAACGUGUGUGAGAGUGGAAAGUUCACACAGUGACGGUAACUUACCAGAAAGGGACGGCUAACUACGUGCCAGCAGCCGCGGUAAUACGUAGGUCCCGAGCGUUGUCCGGAUUUAUUGGGCGUAAAGCGAGCGCAGGCGGUUUAAUAAGUCUGAAGUUAAAGGCAGUGGCUUAACCAUUGUUCGCUUUGGAAACUGUUAGACUUGAGUGCAGAAGGGGAGAGUGGAAUUCCAUGUGUAGCGGUGAAAUGCGUAGAUAUAUGGAGGAACACCGGUGGCGAAAGCGGCUCUCUGGUCAGUAACUGACGCUGAGGCUCGAAGAGCCCUA